RNAcentral lists this transfer RNA (78 nucleotides) under Pseudomonas phage nickie. RNAcentral's name for it is "tRNA-Met". It matches the Rfam family "tRNA". From Rfam's summary of the family: Transfer RNA (tRNA) molecules are approximately 80 nucleotides in length. Their secondary structure includes four short double-helical elements and three loops (D, anti-codon, and T loops). Further hydrogen bonds mediate the characteristic L-shaped molecular structure. tRNAs have two regions of fundamental functional importance: the anti-codon, which is responsible for specific mRNA codon recognition, and the 3' end, to which the tRNAs corresponding amino acid is attached (by aminoacyl-tRNA synthetases). tRNAs cope with the degeneracy of the genetic code in two manners: having more than one tRNA (with a specific anti-codon) for a particular amino acid; and 'wobble' base-pairing, i.e. permitting non-standard base-pairing at the 3rd anti-codon position. The record is from RNAcentral. Lineage: Duplodnaviria; Heunggongvirae; Uroviricota; Caudoviricetes.
UGCGAAGUAGUUCAGCCCGGUAGAACAGCAGGCUCAUAACCUGUAUUGUCGGUGGUUCAAAUCCACCCUUCGCAACCA